Molecule: small nucleolar RNA, 214 nt
Filed under: Haemaphysalis longicornis (longhorned tick)
Lineage: Eukaryota; Metazoa; Arthropoda; Arachnida; Ixodida; Ixodidae
Description: Small nucleolar RNA U3
Rfam family: Small nucleolar RNA U3
About the family: Small nucleolar RNAs (snoRNAs) are involved in the processing and modification of rRNA in the nucleolus.
Source: Rfam by way of RNAcentral
AAGAUCAUGCUUCAUAGGAUCAUUUCUAUAUGAAGCUAGCAGAGAUCGUUCCGCGAUCUUAGAACUCACUCAGCCACGAUGAUGAGCCAAGGGUCUCUGCCUGAGCGCGAAACUGGGAGCGCAGUUUUCGGAUCCUACCGUAUCUGCCUCCUGUGAUGACCGUUCCCGCGGCACUGAGUUGCCAACGGGAGGGCAGGGACCUAAUCUGAGUGGU